AAGAAAAAUCAAAAAACAAGAAGAAAGAUGUUUUGGGUGAUCUCUCACAAUUGUUUUCCUUGCCAAACUACUCUACAAAUCAAUACAUGACUCCUUUGGGCGAAGUCUAGUGUUUAAAAUAGGAUUUUGGGCUAAAAAUCUCGUAUUUUGCACUUAGGUCCCUGAACUUUUCCGCAUCUGUCGCAUUUCUGCCGCAGUUACGGUAGAACCGCGGCCAAAAACAUGCUCUUUGAUUCUCCCAGUUGUCUGCAGUUGCACACUGCCGUGGUUCUGCCGCGGUUACGGUGGAACCACGGCCAAACAUGCUCUCUGAAUCUCAACUUGUCUGCGACAGGCCUCUACCGCGUUUCUGUCACGGUUACGGUUGAACCGCGACAGUCCUUCUUCAGGCCUAGUUAAAGCUGCUUCGCGUGGUUUACUUGGAGGAAUUUUUACGAUUGGCCUCUUUUUCUCCAUAUUCGAUCCCAAAUGUACUCCAUGGCCUUCUCUUG
This 491-nucleotide long non-coding RNA is filed under the name Nicotiana benthamiana. RNAcentral's name for it is "long non-coding RNA (NBEN_LNC020554)". Lineage: Eukaryota; Viridiplantae; Streptophyta; Magnoliopsida; Solanales; Solanaceae. The record is from RNAcentral.